AACCUUAUGGACCUGCGGGCGUAUACCUGCGGAAGGAUCAUUACCGAGUUUACAACUCCCAAACCCCUGUGAACAUACCUAUACGUUGCCUCGGCGGAUCAGCCCGCGCCCUGUAAAAAGGGACGGCCCGCCCGAGGACCCUAAACUCUGUUUUUAGUGGAACUUCUGAGUAAAACAAACAAAUAAAUCAAAACUUUCAGCAACGGAUCU
This 210-nucleotide unclassified non-coding RNA is filed under the name soil metagenome. RNAcentral describes it as "partial contains 5.8S ribosomal RNA, internal transcribed spacer 2, and large subunit ribosomal RNA". The record is from RNAcentral.